GACGAACGCUGGCGGCGUGCUUAACACAUGCAAGUCGAACGCUGAAGCACCAGCUUGCUGGUGUGGAUGAGUGGCGAACGGGUGAGUAAUACGUGAGUAACCUGCCCUUGACUCUAGGAUAAGCCCGGGAAACUGGGUCUAAUACUGGAUGCUACAUGUCACCGCAUGGUGGUGUGUGGAAAGGGUUUACUGGUCUUGGAUGGGCUCACGGCCUAUCAGCUUGUUGGUGAGGUAAUGGCUCACCAAGGCGACGACGGGUAGCCGGCCUGAGAGGGUGACCGGCCACACUGGGACUGAGACACGGCCCAGACUCCUACGGGAGGCAGAGGUGGGGAAUAUUGCACAAUGGGCGAAAGCCUGAUGCAGCGACGCCGCGUGAGGGAUGACGGCCUUCGGGUUGUAAACCUCUUUCAGCAGGGAAGAAGCCACAAGUGACGGUACCUGCAGAAGAAGCGCCGGCUAACUACGUG
RNAcentral lists this ribosomal RNA (470 nucleotides) under uncultured bacterium. Its description in RNAcentral is "partial 16S ribosomal RNA". It matches the Rfam family "Bacterial small subunit ribosomal RNA", at positions 28 to 507 of the family's 1533-position model. The record is from RNAcentral.